CGCCCCCANAAUUCYURNCGGGANGGCAGYCUGUGGGGBUAUNCUUGCACUAUGGGGCGCHAGCMUURAUGCAUUGAYCGCCGCCUGHGGGGAUUAUCGGCCUUCGGGGUUGUNWANCCUCUUUCRGUAGGGAAUGAAGCGAWAGUGACGGUACCUUGCAGAAGAAGCGCCGGCUAACUACGUGCCAUCAGCCGCGGUMAUAUCGUAGGGCGCAAGCGUUAUCCGGRAAUUAUUGGGCGUAAAGAGCUCGUUAGGCGGUUUGUCGCGUCUGCUGUGAAAGACCGGGGCUCAACUCCGGUUCUGCAGUGGGUACGGGCAGACUAGAGUGCAGUAGGGGAGACUGGAAUUCCUGGUGUAGCGGUGAAAUGCGCAGAUAUCAGGAGGAACACCGAUGGCGAAGGCAGGUCUCUGGGCUGUAACUGACGCUGAGGAGCGAAAGCAUGGGGAGCGAACAGGAUUAGAUACCCUGGUAGUCCAUGCCGUAAACGUUGGGCACUAGGUGUGGGGGACAUUCCACGUUUUCCGCGCCGUAGCUAACGCAUUAAGUGCCCCGCCUGGGGAGUACGGCCGUCAAGGCUAAAACUCAAAGGAAUUGAUCGGGGGCCCGCAUCAYAGCGGCGGAGCAUGCAGGAUUAAUUCUGAUGCUAWCKKCGAAGWACCCUUAUCGCMAGGCUUGACAUGAACCGGAAAGACCUGGAAACAGGUGCCCCGCUUGCGGUCGGUUUACAGGUGGUGCAUGGUUGUCGUCAGCUCGUGUCGUGAGAUGUUGGGUUAAGUCCCGCAACGAGCGCAACCCUCGUUCUAUGUUGCCAGCGCGUUAUGGCGGGGACUCAUAGGAGACUGCCGG
This 847-nucleotide ribosomal RNA is filed under the name actinobacterium OAG4 UNDR-2009. RNAcentral describes it as "partial 16S ribosomal RNA". It matches the Rfam family "Bacterial small subunit ribosomal RNA", at positions 325 to 1155 of the family's 1533-position model. The record is from RNAcentral. Lineage: Bacteria; Bacillati; Actinomycetota; Actinomycetes.